This 194-nucleotide ribosomal RNA is filed under the name uncultured eukaryote. RNAcentral's name for it is "partial 18S ribosomal RNA". It matches the Rfam family "Eukaryotic small subunit ribosomal RNA", at positions 1 to 212 of the family's 1831-position model. The record is from RNAcentral.
UAAACCUGGUUGAUCCUGCCAGUAGUCAUAUGCUUGUCUCAAAGACUAAGCCAUGCAUGUCUAAGUAUAAAUAACUACACAGUAAAACUGCGAAUGGCUCAUUAAAACAGUUAUAGUUUAUUUGAUACAUUAAAUGGAUAACUGUAGAAAAACUAGAGCUAAUACAUGCCAAAACCGCAAGGUUGUAUUUAUUA